AGACGCUAUACUCCUUUUGAC
RNAcentral lists this unclassified non-coding RNA (21 nucleotides) under Mus musculus (house mouse). RNAcentral describes it as "oocyte_clustered_small_RNA5626". The record is from RNAcentral. Lineage: Eukaryota; Metazoa; Chordata; Mammalia; Rodentia; Muridae.